RNAcentral lists this transfer RNA (74 nucleotides) under Thinopyrum intermedium. RNAcentral describes it as "tRNA-Met". It matches the Rfam family "tRNA". From Rfam's summary of the family: Transfer RNA (tRNA) molecules are approximately 80 nucleotides in length. The record is from RNAcentral. Lineage: Eukaryota; Viridiplantae; Streptophyta; Magnoliopsida; Poales; Poaceae.
AGUGGGGUAGAGGAAUUGGUCAACUCAUCAGGCUCAUGACCUGAAGACUGCAGGUUCGAAUCCUGUCCCCGUCU